RNAcentral lists this ribosomal RNA (229 nucleotides) under uncultured bacterium. Its description in RNAcentral is "partial 16S ribosomal RNA". It matches the Rfam family "Bacterial small subunit ribosomal RNA", at positions 568 to 796 of the family's 1533-position model. The record is from RNAcentral.
CUCGUAGGCGGGCUAAUAAGUCAGUGGUGAAAUCUCUCGGCUCAACCGGGAAACUGCCAUUGAUACUGUUAGUCUUGAGUUCGGUUGAGGUAGGCGGAAUGUGUAAUGUAGCGGUGAAAUGCUUAGAUAUUACACAGAACACCAAUUGCGUAGGCAGCUUACUAGACCGACACUGACGCUGAGGCACGAAAGCGUGGGGAGCGAACAGGAUUAGAUACCCUGGUAGUCC